This 345-nucleotide unclassified non-coding RNA is filed under the name Hevea brasiliensis (rubber tree). Lineage: Eukaryota; Viridiplantae; Streptophyta; Magnoliopsida; Malpighiales; Euphorbiaceae. The record is from RNAcentral.
CUAACAUGGUUUUUGUAUCACAAUAUUGCAACCAGGACUGAUACAAUGCUAAUAUUAAAAACCCUGGUUUGAAUCCCCUAGCUAUUUGCAUUAUGAGGCAGAUACUCAGCUACUGGGAAUUGUCAUCUAAUUUUGUAUUAUGCUUGCUAGAAGGAUUUAGAACCGUGUUUUGGUAGUGCACUAUUUGUUUUGCCUGCUAGAAAGAUUUGUUUCCCUAGAUUUGUUUUGCUUGAUAUCCUGGUAUGAUAAUGUUGGCUGAAGUGGAACGAUGUAAUGAUAAUUUCUUUUACUCAUCUAUUUAUUUAUUUAUUUUGAUAAAUAUUUUGGGCUUAAAGUGUCAAAUAG